This 84-nucleotide ribosomal RNA is filed under the name Periophthalmus magnuspinnatus. Lineage: Eukaryota; Metazoa; Chordata; Actinopteri; Gobiiformes; Gobiidae. The record is from RNAcentral.
CUGCCCAGGAUUGUCUGAUUUCUGAAGCUAAGCAGGGCUGGGCUUGGUUAGUACUUGGAUGGGAGACUGCUUCGAAUACCAGGU